Molecule: ribosomal RNA, 490 nt
Filed under: soil fungal sp. DM2-306
Lineage: Eukaryota; Fungi
Description: eukaryotic LSU rRNA
Rfam family: Eukaryotic large subunit ribosomal RNA
Source: RNAcentral
UUGUAAUUUGCAGAGGAUGCUUUUGGCGCGGUGCCUUCUGAGUUCCCUGGAACGGGACGCCGGAGAGGGUGAGAGCCCCGUACAGUUGGACACCAAGCCUUUGUAAAGCUCCUUCNACGAGUCGAGUAGUUUGGGAAUGCUGCUCAAAAUGGGAGGUAAAUGCCUUCUAAAGCUAAAUACCGGCCAGAGACCGAUAGCGCACAAGUAGAGUGAUCGAAAGAUGAAAAGCACUUUGAAAAGAGGGUUAAACAGUACGUGAAAUUGUUGAAAGGGAAGCGCUCGUGACCAGACUUGCGCCCGGCGGAUCAUCCGGCCUUCUGGCCGGUGCACUCCGCCGGGCUCAGGCCAGCAUCGGUUUUCCUGGGGGGACAAAAGUGGCGGGAACGUAGCUCCUCCGGGAGUGUUAUAGCCCGCCGCAGCAUACCCCCGGGGGGACCGAGGACCGCGCUUCGGCAAGGAUGCUGGCGUAAUGGUCACCAGCGACCCGUCU